This 729-nucleotide long non-coding RNA is filed under the name Mytilus galloprovincialis (Mediterranean mussel). Lineage: Eukaryota; Metazoa; Mollusca; Bivalvia; Mytilida; Mytilidae. The record is from RNAcentral.
GUUUUCUUUUCUUUUCUUUUCUUUUUUUUUUGGGGGGGGGGGGGGUCUCUUCAGUUUAUCACAUAAAUGACUGCUUAUUCAAAAGUUUUAGAUAUUUUUUUACUAUUGUUCUUAUCUAAUGUUUAAAUACGAUUUAUAACAUAUGAUUUUUUUUUGUCAGGCAAGGAUAAAACUAAGAAAGAUAAAAGUUUUUUCAGGUGUUUUUGCUUCAUUUAGACACGAAAAGGGAAUAACGGACGACUAAAUUAAAGUGUUUUGUUUUCAUAUAAUAUAUUGAACUUGCGAAUAUAUCUCACCCAACACGUUUUGAUCGGGACAGUGAAACCUAGUUCAAUACGGUUUUAUUCAUUGAAGUUUGCAUGCAUAGUUCUUAUUUAAAAAAAAAAAACACAAAUAAAGCAAGAUCUAUUAAUUGAUUGGACUGAAUAGACAACACUAAUUAUUUUGCAUUCGCAUGUAUCUUAAUGUAGGAAAAUUACCAAAUCAGAAACAAAAGGAACAUUUGCCGGAUGAAUAUUGUGAAGGACCUUAUGCAUCUAGGACUGUCCGAUUAAAAGUUCUUAAACAAGCUGUUUAAAAAGCUAAUUGUUGGAAGAGUUUACUUACUGUUUUCUAAGGUCUGAUCUUUACGAUUCUAUUUCAUGAUUACUGACAGAUCAAAAACAUCAAGUAUAUAUAGCAUGAAGUUGUUGGGCAUAAUAUUCAUUGGUCAGUUAUAAAUGAGGUCUG